This is a long non-coding RNA of Calidris pygmaea (Spoon-billed sandpiper), 1721 nucleotides long. NCBI's taxonomy places the organism in Eukaryota, Metazoa, Chordata, Aves, Charadriiformes, Scolopacidae. The record is from Ensembl.
UUGUGGGGAGGGCAGGGGUUUGGCUGCUGGAGGAGAGAUUGGAGAGUCCCCUCCAACUUGGGAGCAUCUCAGCACGUUGUUGGAUCAUCCCUCCACCUCGUCUUGAGCAUCCUUCUGAUGAGGGAUCAGAGCAUCCCCCCACCUUGGAGCAUCCCUCAACCUCGUUGGAACAUCCCUCCACCUCAUCAGAGCAUCCCACCACCUCCUCGGAGCAUCCCACCACCUUGACAGACCAUCCCUCCACCAAUAGAGCAUCCCUCAACCUUGUUGGAACAUCCCUCAACCUCAUCGGAGCAUCCCACCACUUUGGAGCAUCCCUCCACCUUGUCAGAGCAUCCCACCACCUCAUCAGAACAUCCUUCCACCUCAUCAGAGCAUACCAUCCCCUCGUCAGAGCAUCCCAUCACCUUGGAGCAUCCCUCCACCUUGUCAGAGCAUCCCACCACCUCAUCAGAACAUCCCACCACCUCAUCGGAUCAUCCCACCACCUCAUUGGACCAUCCCGCCACUUUGUCAGAGCAUCCCUCCACCUUGGAGCAUCCUGUCAACUCUUUAGAACAUCCUUCCACCUCAUCGGAGCAUCCCUCCACCUUAGGGCAUCCCUCAACCUUGUCAGAGCAUCCCACCACCUCAUUGGAGCACCCCUCCACCUCACUAGAACAUCCUUCUACCUCAUCAGAACAUCCCACCACCUCAUCAGAGCAUCCCACCACCUUGUCAGACCAUCCUCUCCACCAAUAGAGCAUCCCUCAACCUUGUUGGAACAUCCCUCAACCUCAUCAGAGCAUCCCACCACCUCAUUGGAGCAUCCCACCACCUCAUUGGAGCAUCCCACCAUCUUGCCAGAGCAUCCCUCCACCUUGGAACAUCCCUCCACCUUGGAGCAUCCUGUCAACUCUUUAGAACAUCUCUCCACCUCAUCAGAGCAUCCCUCCAGCUCAUUGGAGCACCCCUCCACCUCAUCAGAACAUCCUUCUACCUCGUCACAACAUCCCACCACCUCAUCAGAGCAUCCCACCACCUUGACAGAGGAUCCCUCCACCUUGGAGUGCCCCUUCACCUUGGAGCAUCCCGUCAACUCACCAGAGCAUCCCACCACCUUGUCAGAGCGUUCCUCCACCUUGGAGCAUCCCUCCAUCUCUUUGGAGCAUCCCUCCAUCUCUUUGGAGCAUCCCACCACCUCCUCGGAGCAUCCCACCACCUCCCCAGAGCAUCCCACCACCACAUCCCAACCAAGAGCCUGGGUGGGAGAUGCCAGAACCGGGAACUGGAUGCGGGAUGGGGGGAGCCACCGUGCACCCCCUCUGCAAAGCAGGUUUUUGGGGAGGAACAGCUCAAAUAUAACUCAGCCGGGUGUCAGAAAACACCUUUUCCACUCAAAACCCCCCAAAUUACCCCAUUUAAGGCUUCGAUGUCCCUCCAAACUCCCGGAGGGUGACAUCCCACCAAGCUGCACCCUCAGCGGAACCCGUUCCCUCCCCUGCAAAAGGCCCGUGGGGUCAUGGCGGGGGGACAAAGCCUUUAUGGAGAGGUCUGGGGUGCCCCCCGCCCCCCGAAAUCCUCCCGUCCGGGCUGGGGGGUGAGUUACGGCAGCGUUUCCCCACCCGUCCCUCUCCCGCCUUUGCAUAACUCACGGCGCUUGGCACCGGGCUCUUUAGGAGAAGGAUGCUCCGGUCAGCCACAAUAAUAAAUAGAUAAAUAAAGGCCUGGAAAGUCUCCGU